This is a long non-coding RNA of Aricia agestis (brown argus), 334 nucleotides long. RefSeq lists it as uncharacterized. NCBI's taxonomy places the organism in Eukaryota, Metazoa, Arthropoda, Insecta, Lepidoptera, Lycaenidae. The transcript is spliced from 2 exons. The record is from RefSeq and is a predicted model, not a curated record.
UGGCCUAUUUUGCUCUAUAACAGUACGGAACCCUUGGUGCGUGAGCUCAACUCGCACUUGAUGGAUUAUUAUGUAUGAAGUCAGUCAACCUAGGCAGAUGUUAGAAAAACUUUUCUACUUUUGAUUUUUUCUAAUUUCUAGUAGGAUAGUAAACAUCUUAAACCUUAUGCAUUUUUUCCAGAUAAACUUAUGUCUACUACCGAAAAGAUAAACAUGAAUAUGGCAAUUGAAGCAAGCACUGAAAUAAAUGAGACAGAGGCACAUAUUUAUCAAGGUGGACCAGUGCUUACUAAUGUCCAUAAAACAUAUGGUACUGAUAAUUUUGUACCAAUAC